This is a long non-coding RNA of Populus trichocarpa (black cottonwood), 396 nucleotides long. RefSeq lists it as uncharacterized. The record is from RefSeq and is a predicted model, not a curated record. NCBI's taxonomy places the organism in Eukaryota, Viridiplantae, Streptophyta, Magnoliopsida, Malpighiales, Salicaceae. The transcript is spliced from 2 exons.
GGGAAAGCAAAAGGAAAGCUAGAGUUUUUGCCCUAAUUUCUUGCAGAAUAGACAACAACCAAGAGAUUUACUUCUGUCGGUAUCUCCUGCAGAAUAGACAACAAUCAACAGAGAGUUCAUUGGAGAAAUCUACAGCUGAAGAUGUUGAUUUAUGGAUUCUAAUGUAAAAUGGGGUUAAAAUGUUGAUUUAUAGAUUCUAAUGCAAACUAGAGUUUGAAUAUUGUCCCCUUAUAUCUAUUAUGUUAAAUUUUGUGUCUCUAGAACAACUUGUUAUUUUAUUAUCCAUAUCUUUAAUAUCUUUAAAUUAUGUUAAAUAUUUAUUUAUUUGAAGAUAAAUGCACCUUGAUGCUAAUUAAUUAUGCUAGUAUAUAUGUUAAUGUGAUAUUUUCUUAUUAA